RNAcentral lists this RNase P RNA (323 nucleotides) under Prevotellaceae bacterium. RNAcentral's name for it is "RNase P RNA component class A". It matches the Rfam family "Bacterial RNase P class A". From Rfam's summary of the family: Ribonuclease P (RNase P) is a ubiquitous endoribonuclease, found in archaea, bacteria and eukarya as well as chloroplasts and mitochondria. Its best characterised activity is the generation of mature 5'-ends of tRNAs by cleaving the 5'-leader elements of precursor-tRNAs. The record is from RNAcentral. Lineage: Bacteria; Pseudomonadati; Bacteroidota; Bacteroidia; Bacteroidales; Prevotellaceae.
UCGGUGUGCGGUUCUACCGCUCCGGUCGCAAGGCUGGGGAGGAAAGUCCGGACAAUACAGAGCGCCAUGCUGUGGAAAGCACAGGUAGCCGUAAGGUUAGGGAGGCAUAACAGAGAACGACCGUCGUCGCGAGGCGAUAAGGGUGAAAAGGUGAGGUAAGAGCUUACCGGUUGUGGUAGUGAUGCCGCAAGCCGUAUGUUCCCUUGGAUUGCAAGGCCAUGUACACCGGCAUUAGCAGGGUGGCUCGCCCGACGCCGGGGGGUAGGCCGCAGUAGAUAAAUGGUAGAACACGACAGAAUCCGGCUUAUACGCACACCGAUUUU